RNAcentral lists this non-coding RNA (26 nucleotides) under Cricetulus griseus (Chinese hamster). Lineage: Eukaryota; Metazoa; Chordata; Mammalia; Rodentia; Cricetidae. The record is from RNAcentral.
CUUACGACCAUCCCUUAUGAGAUCUG